This 253-nucleotide ribosomal RNA is filed under the name uncultured bacterium. RNAcentral describes it as "partial 16S ribosomal RNA". It matches the Rfam family "Bacterial small subunit ribosomal RNA", at positions 524 to 776 of the family's 1533-position model. The record is from RNAcentral.
UACGUAGGGGGCUAGCGUUGUCCGGAUUUAUUGGGCGUAAAGAGCGUGUAGGCGGCCAGGUAGGUCCGCUGUGAAAACCCGAGGCUCAACCUCGGGACGUCGGCGGAAACCAUUUGGCUAGAGUCCGGAAGAGGAGAGUGGAAUUCCCGGUGUAGCGGUGAAAUGCGCAGAUAUCGGGAAGAACACCCGUGGCGAAGGCGGCUCUCUGGGACGGUACUGACGCUGAGACGCGAAAGCGUGGGGAGCGAACAGG